GUACACGCUGUGACUAGCAUAUCAAUAAGCGGAGGAAAAGAAACUAACAAGGAUUCCCCUAGUAACGGCGAGUGAAGCGGGAAGAGCUCAAAUUUGAAAUCUUAAAGGGUUUCCCUUUACGAAUUGUAGUUUAAAGAAGUGUUUUCUGUUGAGGUUUUGGUAAAAGUUCUUUGGAAUAGGACAUCAUAGAGGGUGAGAAUCCCGUAUUUGACCUUUACUUUCAACUUUGUGAUACACUUUCAAAGAGUCGGAUUGUUUGGGAAUGCAGUCCAAAAUGGGUGGUAAAUUUCAUCUAAAGCUAAAUAUUGGCGAGAGACCGAUAGCGAACAAGUACCGUGAGGGAAAGAUGAAAAGAACUUUGAAAAGAGAGUUAAACAGUACGUGAAAUUGUCAAAAGGGAAGCGUUUGACACCAGUGUUGUUUUUCUGAAAAGUCAAUUAAAGAACUGUUUAUGCUAAGUUGUUUAGACUUUAUCAGCUAUCUGUUUAGUUUUGAGCUUUUCUUUAAUGCACUUUUCAGUUAACAAGUCAACAUCGAUUUCUUUUGCUGUAAAAAAGCUUGAGGAAGGUGGCUUGAGAUUCGUCUUAAGUGUUUAUAGCCUCUUGCCUAUGCAGUCGGAGAGAUUGAGGUCUGCAGCGUAGAUCCUUCGGGGCUAAAUGCAUUUGUGCUAAGUUAUAGCAUUUUAUAGACAACUUGUUGACUAUGAUUUGUCUUGUAGCUUACUCGCUUAUGUUAUUUUACCUACGCUUAGGAUGUUGAAGAUGUAGCACAUCAU
This 775-nucleotide ribosomal RNA is filed under the name uncultured Neocallimastigales. Its description in RNAcentral is "partial large subunit ribosomal RNA". It matches the Rfam family "Eukaryotic large subunit ribosomal RNA", at positions 22 to 635 of the family's 3401-position model. The record is from RNAcentral. Lineage: Eukaryota; Fungi; Neocallimastigomycota; Neocallimastigomycetes; Neocallimastigales.